GAUGAACGCUGGCGGCGGGCCUAAUACAUGCAAGUAUGGCGAACGGAUGGGAAGCUGUUUUUUCUGAUGUGAGCGGCGGACUGGUGAGUAACACUUGAAUAACCCAUCUAUGAUACUGGAAGAACUUCGGAAAACCGGAGCUAAUACCGUAUGAUAGUUUUAACCGCAGGGUUCAAAAGUGAAAGACGGUCUUGCUGUCACUUAUAGAUGGAUCCGCGCUGCAUUAGCUAGUUGGUAAGUUAACGGCUUACCAAGGCAACGAUGCAUAGCCGACCUGAGAGAAUGAUCCGCUCCCCUGGAACUGCGACACGGUCAAGACUCCUACGGGAGCCCGCAGUAGGGAAUCUUACGUCAUGGGCGCAAGUCUGACGGAGCAACGCCGCGUGAGUGAUGACGGCCUUCCGAUCGCCAAACUCUGUUCUUCGGGACGAACAUAUGUGUAAGUAACUGUCCACAUCUUGAAGGUACCAAAUCAGAAAGCCACGGCUCACUACGUG
This 497-nucleotide ribosomal RNA is filed under the name uncultured bacterium. RNAcentral's name for it is "partial 16S ribosomal RNA". It matches the Rfam family "Bacterial small subunit ribosomal RNA", at positions 28 to 507 of the family's 1533-position model. The record is from RNAcentral.